AUUGAACGCUGGCGGCAUGCCUAACACAUGCAAGUCGAACGGCAGCACAGUAAAGACUUCGGUCUUUAUGGGUGGCGAGUGGCGGACGGGUGAGUAACGCGUAGGAAUCUGUCCUGGAGAGUGGGAUAACCCGAGGAAACUCGGGCUAAUACCGCAUGAUAUCGAGAGAUCAAAGGCAGGGGACCCUUCGGGCCCUUGCGCUCGAGGUUGAGCCUACGUCGGAUUAGCUAGUUGGUGGGGUAAAGGCCUACCAAGGCGACGAUCCGUAGCUGGUCUGAGAGGAUGACCAGCCACACUGGGACUGAGACACGGCCCAGACUCCUACGGGAGGCAGCAGUGGGGAAUCUUGGACAAUGGGGGAAACCCUGAUCCAGCGAUGCCGCGUGUGUGAAGAAGGCCUUCGGGUUGUAAAGCACUUUAGGUGGGGAAGAAAGGUAAUGAGUGAAUAACUGAUUGCUUUGACGGUACCCGCAGAAUAAGCACCGGCUAACUCUGUGCCAGCAGCCGCAGUAA
This 513-nucleotide ribosomal RNA is filed under the name uncultured bacterium. RNAcentral's name for it is "partial 16S ribosomal RNA". It matches the Rfam family "Bacterial small subunit ribosomal RNA", at positions 30 to 523 of the family's 1533-position model. The record is from RNAcentral.